GCUGGGCAUGGUGGUGCAUGCCUGUAGUUCCAGCUACUCUGGAGGCUGAGACAGGAGGAUCACUUGCGCCCAGGAGUUUGAGGCUGCUGUGAGCUAUGAUCAUACCACUGCACUCCAGCCUGGGUGACAGAGCAAAACCUGUCUCUA
This 147-nucleotide non-coding RNA is filed under the name Homo sapiens (human). The record is from Rfam by way of RNAcentral. Lineage: Eukaryota; Metazoa; Chordata; Mammalia; Primates; Hominidae.